ACAACUGUACAUGUUGGUUUCACUCUGAGCUGUAGGUCAAGGUUUCCUACCUCAUUAAACUCCCCACUCUUCCUGUUUUCUAUCUCUACAAUCAAUGGACAAAUGUAUCUACAAUUAAAUUAAUCUAACAACAAUACAACUGUUUGCAGUUUAGCAGUAUUAUUAUGAUGAAUUUGUCAGACUACUCAGACAGAUAGUAAACAGAAUGUAAAUCUAAGCCUGCAAGCAUUGGGUACUUUCCACUCUGCCUAACACGUUUCAUAAAAAAACUGCAGGGACUUUCCACCAAGAGAUAGCAGCAUCAUAAUCAAACCCAGACUCAGAGCUGGAUAGGUAAGAGAUAGAAGCAUCAUAAUCAAACCCAGACUCAGAGCUGGAUAGGUAAGAGAUAGUAGUAUCAUAAUCAAACCCAGACUCAGAGCUGGAUAGGUAAGAGAUAGCAGCAUCAUAAUCAAACCCAGACUCAGAGCUGGAUAGGGAAGAGAUAGAAGCAUCAUAAUCAAACCCAGACUCAGAGCUGGAUAGGUAAGAGAUAGCAGCAUUAUAAUCAAACCCAGACUCAGAGCUGGAACACCUCUUGUUAUACACUACAUUAAUUAACAUAAGGUUGUCUGUGAGACAACACUCCCUUUGUUUUACUGACUUGUUGAAUGAUUGAUCCAUUCAUCCUUCCAUCCCUUCCCAGCCUUCCUCUCCUCUGAGGACCCAGCGAGGGUGGAGCACAGUCUGAGAGCUGUUGAGUGAGAACACUUCUACAGCCAGAGAGUCAAGAAAUGGAACAGCAAGGCCACAGAACAUCACACACGCAGAGCUGUGGGAGACCACCUGAAACAUUCCCCUGGUAGAGCCAGGGGAUGUGUUAACCACACCACCACCAAACGCCUUUAACAGGCUUGAAAAGUGGGUUUGAUCUGUUUGAUCCAUUUUAUUUGUUUCAGUUUUCAUUAGUUGAAUCCUUCGACUUACUGUU
Salvelinus sp. IW2-2015 is the source of this 970-nucleotide non-coding RNA. NCBI's taxonomy places the organism in Eukaryota, Metazoa, Chordata, Actinopteri, Salmoniformes, Salmonidae. The record is from RefSeq and is a predicted model, not a curated record.